RNAcentral lists this ribosomal RNA (407 nucleotides) under uncultured bacterium. Its description in RNAcentral is "partial 16S ribosomal RNA". It matches the Rfam family "Bacterial small subunit ribosomal RNA", at positions 30 to 526 of the family's 1533-position model. The record is from RNAcentral.
AUUGAACGCUGGCGGCAGGCCUAACACAUGCAAGUCGAGCGGAGCGGCGGACGGGUGAGUAAUGCCUAGGAAUCUGCCUGGUAGUGGGGGAUAACGUCCGGAAACGGGCGCUAAUACCGCAUACUAUCAGAUGAGCCUAGGUCGGAUUAGCUAGUUGUUGGGGUAAAGGCCUUCCAAGGCGACGAUCCGUAACUGGUCUGAGCGGAGGAUCAGCCACACUGUAACUGCACCACGGUCCAGCCUCCUUCGGUAGGCAGCGGUGGCGAAUAUUGGACAAUGGGCGCAAGCCUGAUGCAGCCAUGCCGCGUGGAUGGAGAGGGCCUUCGGGUUGUAAAGUACUUUCAGCGGGGAGGCGUUACCCGCAGAAGAAGCACCGGCUAACUCCGUGCCAGCAGCCGCGGUAAUAC